Zea mays is the source of this 475-nucleotide long non-coding RNA. RefSeq lists it as uncharacterized. Lineage: Eukaryota; Viridiplantae; Streptophyta; Magnoliopsida; Poales; Poaceae. The record is from RefSeq and is a predicted model, not a curated record. The transcript is spliced from 2 exons.
GGACCACAUCCAUGCCGCUCCGCAGGCAACGCGCCGCGCAUGCCUGUCCCGGCCCGGCCGCACCGCCCACGCCGGCUCAGUCCUGUAAAAGUUGUCUCUUUUGUGAUCUGGAACACGCCGUGUCGCCGCCAAGCUCGAGUCCUACAUGGAGCCCUGCUCGUCGCCGCCAAGCUCGAGUCUAUGGAGCGCGUCAAGGACAGGAUUUGGUUAUGUCUUCUUUUAUAAUGGAGCGGGGAGGGAAUUAGCUUGGGUUCCUAUAUUGUAAUGGCUGUCAAUAGAACAGACACAUCUCGUUUCCCCCCAUUAUUUUUUCACGUUGUGCUGCACUCACUAUUAUACACUGGAAACUCGUUCGGUGGCAUCUGACAAGUUUUUGGAUGAGCAGAGGAUAGUUUGGAUUCGGAAAACGGAUUAAACGAUAAAGUGCCUUCCUUAUUUGUCCUUGUAUGAAACAGGACGGCUACCUUCAUUUCUA